This is a long non-coding RNA of Saimiri boliviensis boliviensis (Bolivian squirrel monkey), 622 nucleotides long. RefSeq lists it as uncharacterized. The record is from RefSeq and is a predicted model, not a curated record. NCBI's taxonomy places the organism in Eukaryota, Metazoa, Chordata, Mammalia, Primates, Cebidae.
UGCCGCGUCGCUGCUGCUUCCGCCUUCCCGGCAGCCCCUGCUCGGCGACCUUUCUCCGUUGGGUGCGGGUUUGUGGUUCCCCCUGAGCUGUCAUUCCGGCGCCAAGAUGUUUGAAAAUUUUAUUAAAAAUAUGUGGCUUCCCUUGAAACCCUACUAUACCCAAGUUUACCAGGAGAUUUGGGUCGGAAUGGGGGUGAUGGGCUUCAUCGUUUAUAAACUCCAUGCCGCCGAUAAAAGAAAAAAGGCUGAGAAAGCUGCAGCGGCUGCUCGUGAUCAUCAUUAACCAGCUCACUUGGAGUGCCUGUGAAAGAAAGCGUCAGUCUGCCUGUGAAUUUGAGCAAGCCGUGUUAGAUGGGCGUGUGGAACAUCACUGUACACUUGCAUGACGCUGACUUCAUGGCAUGAUAAAUAAAUCUGAGAUGCUCUGCUACCUGGUACUGUUUCCACUGUGUUCCCCGCUCAGCACCCCCAGUGUGUCAGGCAUACUCUUUGUAGAUCAUUUGUCAUGCAGCAGAUGCAGAGUGUCGCUGAGCCAGCCAUCCUUAUCAUUAUCUCAGUUGUCAUAGGAGCUGGUGAUCAGGAUCCUGGCACUCACUGCUCAAUAAAUGUGUGUUAAACUUGA